CGCGGGGGCCAUGCUAAUCUUCUCUGUAUCAUUCCAAUUUUAGUGUAUGUGCCGCCGAAGUGAGCACUUUGCUGGCGUUUUAAUAGUCACCGAGGAUACAAGCAUCAAGUGAUGAGGAGCGCAGACCAACAAAGCUGUUAGGAGGGUGGCUUCCUGGUAGGAGGCAGCACAGGGGAGCCCUUUUCAACGGUACUUUAUUUCCAUCCCGUUGGCAUCGCCCACAGGGAAGAAUACCUCAGAGCACUGGCCAUGCUGUCUGCAACUCAGUGGGAAGUCCAACAUACCAAGCUUUACAAAGGGAGGCAGAGCGAGGUGCCCCAAAUGAUGGAGAUGCAGGGACUGGUUACUGAGACCACAGGCCGGAACGGGAACCUCACUCCCCAUUCACCAACCUCACAGCCUUGGUUUGCCUCGAUUUCCUCUUUUGUAAAGUGAUGCAUGAAGUGUCUCCCUUUACAAAAGUGGAUGGUGGGCGAGGACCAAGAGGCCCAGCGCCUGGCCAUGGUACGAUGCAGCUGCUGAUAGAGAAGGACAAGUCCUGGUUCUCCUGUCCUCUGGCCAGAGGGGCUGAAGGUGACUUGAGGUCCCAAGGCCGUGGAGCUGGGACAUGGGUUGGCACCCCUCACUGCUGAGAGUACACAAACCCCAUGAGAGCCGCUCUCAGCCACAGACUUAUCCCUGCACCUUCCGUGGGGUGUGUGCCGGGCGUGAGCGCACCAAACCUGCAUCACUCCCCUGGUGUCAGUGACCCGCCCAAGGCCCUGAUUUCCCUAAAGACCCAUGUCUAAGGCCUGAGAUGGAUCCUAAUGUCACAGGCACUGGCUGCAGCAAGCGUCCCACUCCGGAGCGAAUCCUCUGGGGUCUCAUCACACCCUCCCUUCCCCAAAGUCAAGGAAGCCACAGCUGCAGGGCCCACGGUGAGCCUCAGUUAUCUUUGCAGGCGAUCCUGACGCCUUCCUGGGAAACCCUAUGGUUGGAAUAAAAGAUGUUCCAGAAUUUUGUUAUGCCA
Long non-coding RNA from Piliocolobus tephrosceles (Ugandan red Colobus), 1009 nucleotides. RefSeq lists it as uncharacterized. The transcript has 2 exons. NCBI's taxonomy places the organism in Eukaryota, Metazoa, Chordata, Mammalia, Primates, Cercopithecidae. The record is from RefSeq and is a predicted model, not a curated record.